RNAcentral lists this ribosomal RNA (1573 nucleotides) under Vibrio cholerae. Its description in RNAcentral is "partial 23S ribosomal RNA". It matches the Rfam family "Bacterial large subunit ribosomal RNA", at positions 1260 to 2818 of the family's 2925-position model. The record is from RNAcentral. Lineage: Bacteria; Pseudomonadati; Pseudomonadota; Gammaproteobacteria; Vibrionales; Vibrionaceae.
AUCGUAAGGUUUGCUGGAGGUAUCAGAAGUGCGAAUGCUGACAUGAGUAACGACAAAGGGGGUGAAAAACCUCCUCGCCGGAAGACCAAGGGUUCCUGUCCAACGUUAAUCGGGGCAGGGUGAGUCGACCCCUAAGGUGAGGCCGAAAGGCGUAAUCGAUGGGAAACGGGUUAAUAUUCCCGUACUUCUGACUAUUGCGAUGGGGGGACGGAGAAGGCUAGGUGGGCCAGGCGACGGUUGUCCUGGUUCAAGUGCGUAGGCUUGAGAGUUAGGUAAAUCCGGCUCUCUCUAAGGCUGAGACACGACGUCGAGCUGCUACGGCAGUGAAGUCAUUGAUGCCAUGCUUCCAGGAAAAGCCUCUAAGCUUCAGAUAGUCAGGAAUCGUACCCCAAACCGACACAGGUGGUCGGGUAGAGAAUACCAAGGCGCUUGAGAGAACUCGGGUGAAGGAACUAGGCAAAAUGGUACCGUAACUUCGGGAGAAGGUACGCUCUUGAUGGUGAAGUCCCUCGCGGAUGGAGCUGACGAGAGUCGCAGAUACCAGGUGGCUGCAACUGUUUAUUAAAAACACAGCACUGUGCAAAAUCGCAAGAUGACGUAUACGGUGUGACGCCUGCCCGGUGCCGGAAGGUUAAUUGAUGGGGUUAGCGCAAGCGAAGCUCUUGAUCGAAGCCCCGGUAAACGGCGGCCGUAACUAUAACGGUCCUAAGGUAGCGAAAUUCCUUGUCGGGUAAGUUCCGACCUGCACGAAUGGCGUAAUGAUGGCCACGCUGUCUCCACCCGAGACUCAGUGAAAUUGAAAUCGCUGUGAAGAUGCAGUGUACCCGCGGCUAGACGGAAAGACCCCGUGAACCUUUACUACAGCUUGGCACUGAACAUUGAACCUACAUGUGUAGGAUAGGUGGGAGGCUAUGAAGACGUGACGCCAGUUGCGUUGGAGCCGUCCUUGAAAUACCACCCUUGUAUGUUUGAUGUUCUAACUUAGACCCAUUAUCUGGGUUGAGGACAGUGCCUGGUGGGUAGUUUGACUGGGGCGGUCUCCUCCCAAAGAGUAACGGAGGAGCACGAAGGUGGGCUAAUCACGGUUGGACAUCGUGAGGUUAGUGCAAUGGCAUAAGCCCGCUUAACUGCGAGAAUGACGGUUCGAGCAGGUGCGAAAGCAGGUCAUAGUGAUCCGGUGGUUCUGUAUGGAAGGGCCAUCGCUCAACGGAUAAAAGGUACUCCGGGGAUAACAGGCUGAUACCGCCCAAGAGUUCAUAUCGACGGCGGUGUUUGGCACCUCGAUGUCGGCUCAUCACAUCCUGGGGCUGAAGUCGGUCCCAAGGGUAUGGCUGUUCGCCAUUUAAAGUGGUACGCGAGCUGGGUUUAGAACGUCGUGAGACAGUUCGGUCCCUAUCUGCCGUGGGCGUUGGAAGAUUGAAGGGGGCUGCUCCUAGUACGAGAGGACCGGAGUGGACGAACCUCUGGUGUUCGGGUUGUGUCGCCAGACGCAUUGCCCGGUAGCUAAGUUCGGAAUUGAUAAGCGCUGAAAGCAUCUAAGCGCGAAGCGAGCCCUGAGAUGAGUCUUCCCUGA